Molecule: microRNA, 21 nt
Filed under: Pongo pygmaeus (Bornean orangutan)
Lineage: Eukaryota; Metazoa; Chordata; Mammalia; Primates; Hominidae
Description: ppy-miR-3188
Source: miRBase by way of RNAcentral
AGAGGCUUUGUGCGGACUCGG